GGAAAGACCCCGUGAACCUUUACUGUACUCUGAUAUUGGCUUUUGACUUGUCAUGUGUAGGAUAGCCGGGAGACGUAGAAAGAGACUCGUCAGGGUUUCUGGAGUCAUCCUUGAAAUACCGGCCUUGACAUGUCGGAAAUCUAACGUUGCCCCAUGAAUCUGGGGAACGGACAUUGUCAGACGGGCAGUUUGACUGGGGCGGUUUCCUCCUAAAAAGUAACGGAGGAGUCCAAAGCUUGUCUCAUCGUGGUUGGCAAUCACGAGUAGAGCGUAAAAGUAGAAGACAAGUUGACUGCGAGACCAACAAGUCGAGCAGGUACGAAAGUAGGGUUUAGUGAUCCGGCGGUGGAAAGUGGAAUCGCCGUCGCUUAACGGAUAAAAGGUACUCCGGGGA
RNAcentral lists this ribosomal RNA (394 nucleotides) under Paramoeba aestuarina. Its description in RNAcentral is "partial Bacterial large subunit ribosomal RNA". It matches the Rfam family "Bacterial large subunit ribosomal RNA", at positions 2082 to 2474 of the family's 2925-position model. Lineage: Eukaryota; Discosea; Flabellinia; Dactylopodida; Paramoebidae. The record is from RNAcentral.